UACGGAGGAUGCGAGCGUUAUCCGGAUUUAUUGGGUUUAAAGGGUGCGUAGGCGGGACCUUAAGUCAGCGGUAAAAUUGCGGUGCUCAACCCCGCCGAGCCGUCGGAACUGGGGGCCUUGAGUGCGGCGGAGGCAUGCGGAAUGCGCGGUGUAGCGGUGAAAUGCAUAGAUAUCACGCAGAACCCCGAUUGCGAAGGCAGCAUACCGGUGCACAACUGACGCUCAGGCACGAAAGCGUGGGUAUCGAACAGG
Molecule: ribosomal RNA, 252 nt
Filed under: uncultured Bacteroidales bacterium
Lineage: Bacteria; Pseudomonadati; Bacteroidota; Bacteroidia; Bacteroidales
Description: partial 16S ribosomal RNA
Rfam family: Bacterial small subunit ribosomal RNA
Source: RNAcentral